Non-coding RNA from Prionailurus viverrinus (fishing cat), 729 nucleotides. The record is from the annotation of a RefSeq genome assembly. Lineage: Eukaryota; Metazoa; Chordata; Mammalia; Carnivora; Felidae.
UAAGAAAAGACCAGCCUCAUUUCCGCCCCAGCUUGAGGGGAAAUGAGGGCUCUGUUCUGUGGCAACAGGUCUGCGAGAGGGAGGGGCCCCACAGCCACAGCUCUGGCCCAGAUGAGCCCACCCGUACCAGAUGAGCCGAGGCUGGCUUGAACUAUGUCCUGCUGCCUCCUUGCCCUUCUCCUGGGCACUUUCUUAGGUGUCAGCGCUCAGACCAUCCACCAAUGGCCACCUGUCAGCGUGCGGCUUGUGGGCAGCCCGCUCUCCCUGGAGUGCAUAGUGAAGGGGGAAUCAAACCCUUAUCUGUAUUGGUACCGGCAGGCCGAGGGAGGGCCCCCCCAGCUGCUCUUCUACUCCCUAAAUAUUCACCAGGUAGACCCUGAGGCACCACGGAACUUCACAGCCUCCAGGCCCCAGGACGGCCAGUUCAUCUUGAGUUCUCAGAAGCUCCUCCUCAGUGACUCUGGCUUCUACCUCUGCGCCUGGAGUCUCACACCGAGCCGGGCAAGGUAGACAUCUGUGCAAAUACCCCACCCUCUCCGGGAGCCCUCCCUCUGGGGUUGGGCGGAGGAUAUUUGGGUUUCUGGUUGUCAGCCAAUGUGAGAACAACAGAAUCCAGCCAGAUUCUCCUAAAGAACUUCACUAAGUUCUCAGGGAGAAGAGAAACGUAUUCACGUGCGGGUCCCGCGAAUCGCACACACACGGUCAAGUCCCCAGUGUACGGAUGCCUAA